GCAUUAAUUAGCUUAAUUUAAGUUUCGGAAGAUCAAAUAUGAAUUUUCAAUCACAUAUUACUUGCCUGACAUAUUGCAUGAGCUGUCAUACUAUUCCAAAUUAGGAAUGUAUAAUAUUUGAAGAUGACACUAAUUUGGUUAUAUAUGUACUUAUUUAUAACGGACGAUUUUGGCAAUGGCAUUGAUAAUUCAAACCGAAUCACAUAUCGUAUAGAAACUAAAUUUGGAUCAGGUCAAAUUUUAAAUGCAUAUGUGAUCGUCACUGAUCGAUUUUUAAAUUUAAUUUGAUUGACUAAAUCCUCAAUUUGUUUCCUAUAAUAUUAUAAACCACUAGGGAUCGUUAUCCGCGCCAAGACGCGGAGUAUUUACAUUUUAAUCUACUUUUGUCUCUUGCUUACUAAUCUAGCAUUCAGUUUUUCAAU
RNAcentral lists this long non-coding RNA (422 nucleotides) under Brassica napus (rape). RNAcentral's name for it is "long non-coding RNA (BNAP_LNC021753)". Lineage: Eukaryota; Viridiplantae; Streptophyta; Magnoliopsida; Brassicales; Brassicaceae. The record is from RNAcentral.